AUGGCCGCCGACCACAUUCCAUGCCGCCGUUCUGUGCCAUGUCUAGCCACCGCCCUAUGCCACUCCGAGCCCCCCUACGCUGCUGUUGAUGGUAGGAGCUCGCCGGAGCUCCUGGUGGCAAGGUGGAGACGAGGAGGCAUACCAGAGGCCGGCGACCCUGCCGCGCGCGCCGUCUGGAGGCUCCGCCGCGCGCCAUGGGGCUCCGGCACGGUCGCCCCGCUGACGCGCGCCAUCGGGAGGGACCUGAUUGCUUUAUUGAAUUUUUUAUUAAAUUAUGACAAAGAAACACUGACAUAUGGGCCCCACAUGUCAGAGUCGCGCCUCGGCGCAGGCAAGUUCGGCGCCGUCGUCAAGGCGCGGUGCCGCGCCGUCGUCAAGGCGCGGUGCCGCGCCAUCGGCCAGCUCGUCGCCAUCAAGUCCCUCCACGACCCCGUCGACCCCCACGAGGUGCUUGGGGAGGCCCGCUUCCUCGAGGCCUGCGGCGGCCAACCGCACAUCGUCGGCUUCCGCGGCGUCACGCUCGACUACGUGACCGACGAGCUCUGCCUCGUCAUGGACUACGUCGAGGGCAAGAGCCUCAAAGUUCUCCUGAGCGAGAGGGGCGGCGGGCUCCCGGAGGCCACGGUGUGCACCUUCAUGUGGCAGCUCCUCACGGCCGCCAAGAAGAUGCACCGGUGUCACAUCGUCCACCGCGACAUCAAUCCUGCCAACAUCCUCGUCGGAGGGGACGAAGCCGGAGGAUUCGUCAAGAUCUGCGAUUUUGGCGUCGCCAUGUCCAUGUCGGAGGCGCCGCCGUACGAGGAGGAGGUUGGCAUGGGCGAGUACCGGGCGCCCGAGAUGCUCCUUGGAAAAGAGGACUACGACGCGCUCGUCGACACAUGGUCUCUUGGGCGCGUCAUGGCAGAGAUGCUCUCGGGCAAGAGGAUUUUCCGGGCCGCCGAAUUCAUAUCUCUGUUCCAAAGGAUCUACGAAGUGGUGGGCGUGCCGGACGACACGACGUGGCCGGGGUUCACGUCGCUGCCGCACGCCGCCCCGCCGCCGCUGGUGCCGGGGCAGAAGAGCACGCUGCGAGAUCUGUUCCCGGAGGAGACACUGUCCACGGAGGGAUUCAAGGUCCUCAACGGUCUUCUUACAUGCAACCCCGACAAGCGGCUGAAGGCGGCCACCGCGCUGAAGCUCCCGUGGUUCGCCACCGCUGCUGCAAACGCCCACCCUUCUGCUCCUACUGCUGCUGCAAAGAUCGACACGAUGGCAGUGUCCAUAAAGGAGGAAGUGGUGGAGUUCGCUCCGUUGAUGCCUCCCAGAAGAGAGUCACGGCCAAGAAGAUGUUGA
RNAcentral lists this ribosomal RNA (1332 nucleotides) under Triticum aestivum (bread wheat). RNAcentral describes it as "partial small subunit ribosomal RNA". Lineage: Eukaryota; Viridiplantae; Streptophyta; Magnoliopsida; Poales; Poaceae. The record is from RNAcentral.